Long non-coding RNA from Folsomia candida, 1557 nucleotides. RefSeq lists it as uncharacterized. NCBI's taxonomy places the organism in Eukaryota, Metazoa, Arthropoda, Collembola, Entomobryomorpha, Isotomidae. The record is from RefSeq and is a predicted model, not a curated record. The transcript is spliced from 2 exons.
UGAAAUAACGAAUGUAUGUAUUCCCCGUCUGCGCGCCAACCGAGGAGGAUUUGCUCUUGCACGAGCUCUCCUAAAUUUAUUUAUAUUAUAUUAAUUUUAACUAAAUUUAAUUGGUAAUAACAUUAAUUUUAAUUGGCAAUGUGCGAAAAUCGUUCUUUAUCAAGCUGGUCAACUAUUCCAGUCAAAAUUUGUUUAUUAAUUCUUUAUUUUAAUGUGUUUUUUUUUACAAUCUGAAUUACCACGCGGCCUCUGUCCCUCACUCCUCGGUUGGUUGGGGAAUCAAAAAUUGGUUUGUAUUUCUAAAUUUAGUUGGUUUUUUGUGCAUUUUUCCAACACAAUUUAUAAUUUAAGUAAGUUAUUAAUUAAAACUUGUCAAUUGGUUAAAUAUUGGAUUAUCUUAUAUGUAUCUAAAUUUUACAAACAUUACUAGUCUUGGUAUGCAACCAACAUAGUCGCGCCAGUAGGUAGCGAGUUAGUUUUGUUUUGUUCAUCUAGUUAAAUUUAUAAUUUGACGUCGUUGACGGUAGUAGUAAUGGCUUAAAUAGGAUGUAAGCUCACGAAAAUAUGUGUGCUAUGCUAAAUUUUUGUGCAUUCCCUAGUACUAGUAAAUGAGGAUAAUAAAGGCUAUUAUUAUUAUUAUUAUGUAACUACAUGCGAUCGUCAGAAAAUGCUGCCUUAGUAGAACGUGCAUUGGUAAGUGAAGAGAGAAAAUUCGAUUAGACGUAAAGGACGAAGAAAAGGACAAGAAACUAAUCCGAAUCCAACUCAUCUUGCACUUUUUGUCUGCAAGAUCCGCAAAACACAUGAGAAUCCCACCUCAAAGUGUCAGGAAAGAUAUUUGUCACCCUAGAAUGAGGCAAUAAGUGUCUGAACGGGAUUAACUUUUCCCGACUCUUUCUUUCUUAAUCAAAGGCUCACAAAGUUCGCUCACUCACAAAGACCGGGCAGGCUACGUAUUAGCCACCCAACCCACAAAGGGAUGCAAGCCAUGUGAACGAGAGGGGACAAAAAAUACAAUAAAAAGCACGACGAAUGAACUGGAAACGAGAAAAGUACCACAUCUCACAUCACAUCCGACCCGACCAAACUCUGAAACCGCACAACCACCACCAGCAAAAUAAGUCGUACCGACCGACAGAAUGCUGCCGGACUUGCGGAACAAAAUGUCCACUUAUGAGGUUUAAGAAAAAAUGGACUGGUCGCAAUGAGAAAAAAAAAACUUUCUACGAGAUGAAACUAUGUAAUUCUAGACCAGGUCCAUAACAGGAUGAGAAAGUGAGGGAGUGAUCGAGCCAGUGAGCGAGUGUAUAUUUAAUGGCACAAACGGGAAAGUGUGUAAUGGAUGAGGGACCGAAGACGAGAUGAGACAGAGACCACAUGGGGCCAAAGAGGGAAAGUCGCCCAAGUCGAAUGUCAUGCUUUCCUCGUCUCCCAUCCUUCGUCAUAAGUGACGGAAGAGAAAAUGUGAUACCUCGUUUUAAAAAAAACACACAAUUUGGAAAACAAGGUAUAGAAUUACACCAUGUUCUCAAAAUAAAAUUUCUGAAACAGAGUAAA